GAUGAACGCUGGCGGCGUGCUUAACACAUGCAAGUCGAGCGAAGCACUUUGGUUUGAUUCUUCGGAUGAAGACCUUUGUGACUGAGCGGCGGACGGGUGAGUAACGCGUGGGUAACCUGCCUCAUACAGGGGGAUAACAGUUAGAAAUGACUGCUAAUACCGCAUAAGACCACGGUACCGCAUGGUACAGUGGUAAAAACUCCGGUGGUAUGAGAUGGACCCGCGUCUGAUUAGAUAGUUGGUGGGGUAACGGCCUACCAAGCCGACGAUCAGUAGCCGACCUGAGAGGGUGACCGGCCACAUUGGGACUGAGACACGGCCCUGACUCCUACGGGAGGCAGCAGUGGGGAAUAUUGCACAAUGGAGGAAACUCUGAUGCAGCGACGCCGCGUGAAGGAUGAAGUAUUUCGGUAUGUGAACUUCUAUCAGCAGGGAAGAAAAUGACGGUACCUGACUAAGAAGCCCCGGCUAACUACGUGCCAGCCGCCGCCGUAA
Molecule: ribosomal RNA, 495 nt
Filed under: uncultured bacterium
Lineage: Bacteria
Description: partial 16S ribosomal RNA
Rfam family: Bacterial small subunit ribosomal RNA
Source: RNAcentral